AACUGAUCCUCACACUGCUAUACAAGACACAGUCCAGUUUGGCUCCUCAUCCUGAGUGCAACAAUGGGUCUGUUGACAGCCUUAGCCAUCGCAGCAGGGGCAGGUGGAGCAUUGGUCUCUGCUCCUGUUGUCCUGGGGGCCGUAGGUUUCACCUCAGCUGGAAUAGCAACUGCAGCCGCUGUGGGCAAUGGAGGAGGAUUUAUUGCAAAUAAUGUAUCUAAAUGUAUUUGUAAGGCAUUGAAUGA
Oreochromis aureus is the source of this 245-nucleotide long non-coding RNA. RefSeq lists it as uncharacterized. The transcript is spliced from 3 exons. NCBI's taxonomy places the organism in Eukaryota, Metazoa, Chordata, Actinopteri, Cichliformes, Cichlidae. The record is from RefSeq and is a predicted model, not a curated record.